GACGAACGCUGGCGGCGUGCUUAACACAUGCAAGUCGAACGGUAAGGCCCUUCGGGGUACACGAGUGGCGAACGGGUGAGUAACACGUGGGUGAUCUGCCCUGCACUUCGGGAUAAGCCUGGGAAACUGGGUCUAAUACCGGAUAGGACCACUGCCUGCAUGGGUGGUGGUGGAAAGCUUUUGCGGUGUGGGAUGGGCCCGCGGCCUAUCAGCUGGUUGGUGGGGUGAUGGCCUACCAAGGCGACGACGGGUAGCCGGCCUGAGAGGGUGACCGGCCACACUGGGGCUGGGGUACUGCCCAGACUCCUACGGGAGGCAGCAGUGGGGAAUAUUGCACAAUGGGCGCAAGACUGAUGCAGCGACGCCGCGUGAGGGAUGACGGCCUUCGGGUUGUAAACCUCUUUCAGCACCGACGAAGCGCAAGUGACGGUAGGUGCAGAAGAAGGACCGGCCAACUACGUGCCAGCAGCCGCAGUAA
RNAcentral lists this ribosomal RNA (478 nucleotides) under uncultured bacterium. RNAcentral describes it as "partial 16S ribosomal RNA". It matches the Rfam family "Bacterial small subunit ribosomal RNA", at positions 28 to 523 of the family's 1533-position model. The record is from RNAcentral.